Molecule: ribosomal RNA, 471 nt
Filed under: uncultured bacterium
Lineage: Bacteria
Description: bacterial SSU rRNA
Rfam family: Bacterial small subunit ribosomal RNA
Source: RNAcentral
UGGGGAAUAUUGGACAAUGGGCGAAAGCCUGAUCCAGCCAUGCCGCGUGUGUGAAGAAGGUCUUCGGAUUGUAAAGCACUUUAAGUUGGGAGGAAGGGCAGUAAGUUAAUACCUUGCUGUUUUGACGUUACCGACAGAAUAAGCACCGGCUAACUCUGUGCCAGCAGCCGCGGUAAUACAGAGGGUGCAAGCGUUAAUCGGAAUUACUGGGCGUAAAGCGCGCGUAGGUGGUUUGUUAAGUUGGAUGUGAAAUCCCCGGGCUCAACCUGGGAACUGCAUUCAAAACUGACAAGCUAGAGUAUGGUAGAGGGUGUGGAAUUUCCUGUGUAGCGGUGAAAUGCGUAGAUAUAGGAAGGAACACCAGUGGCGAAGGCGACCACCUGGACUGAUACUGACACUGAGGUGCGAAAGCGUGGGGAGCAAACAGGAUUAGAUACCCGUGUAGUCCCUGAGCGGGCUGGCAAGGCGCAU